AAUCAUGAAAUAAUCAUAAAAGCAUGAACCCUCGGCGCUGCUCUGUCUAUGGGGUAACCAUUCUUUUAUUCCUUUACUUGCCUAAUGAACUUGCUUUCACUUUACUCUAUGGACUCACCCUCAAUUAUUU
This is a long non-coding RNA of Sapajus apella (tufted capuchin), 130 nucleotides long. RefSeq lists it as uncharacterized. The record is from RefSeq and is a predicted model, not a curated record. NCBI's taxonomy places the organism in Eukaryota, Metazoa, Chordata, Mammalia, Primates, Cebidae. The transcript has 3 exons.